UACGGGGGGGGCAAGCGUUGUUCGGAUUUACUGGGCGUAAAGGGCGCGUAGGCGGCAAAUCAAGUCAGCUGUGAAAUCUCCGAGCUUAACUCGGAACUGUCAGCUGAUACUGUUUUGCUAGAGUGCGGAAGGGGCAAUCGGAAUUCUUGGUGUAGCGGUGAAAUGCGUAGAUAUCAAGAGGAACACCUGAGGUGAAGACGGGUUGCUGGGCCGACACUGACGCUGAGGCGCGAAAGCCAGGGGAGCAAACGGG
This 253-nucleotide ribosomal RNA is filed under the name uncultured bacterium. Its description in RNAcentral is "partial 16S ribosomal RNA". It matches the Rfam family "Bacterial small subunit ribosomal RNA", at positions 524 to 776 of the family's 1533-position model. The record is from RNAcentral.